UUUCUCCAAUUCGUAUU
This 17-nucleotide small RNA is filed under the name Arabidopsis thaliana (thale cress). RNAcentral's name for it is "ATSL295530". Lineage: Eukaryota; Viridiplantae; Streptophyta; Magnoliopsida; Brassicales; Brassicaceae. The record is from RNAcentral.